UGUGGUGGUUAUAGCGCGGAGGACCCACCCGUUCCCAUUCCGAACACGGCCGUUAAGCUCCGCAGCGCCAAUGGUACUCCUUCGGGGGUAGAGUAGGUCGCCGCCUCAU
This 109-nucleotide ribosomal RNA is filed under the name Rhodohalobacter sp. SW132. The record is from RNAcentral. Lineage: Bacteria; Pseudomonadati; Balneolota; Balneolia; Balneolales; Balneolaceae.